Molecule: ribosomal RNA, 1372 nt
Filed under: uncultured bacterium
Lineage: Bacteria
Description: bacterial SSU rRNA
Rfam family: Bacterial small subunit ribosomal RNA
Source: RNAcentral
GAUAAACGCUGGCGGCGUGCCCAAUACAUGCAAGUCGAGCGAACGGACGAGAAGCUUGCUUCUCUGAUGUUAGCGGCGGACGGGUGAGUAACACGUGGAUAACCUACCUAUAAGACUGGGAUAACUUCGGGAAACCGGAGCUAAUACCGGAUAAUAUUUUGAACCGCAUGGUUCAAAAGUGAAAGACGGUCUUGCUGUCACUUAUAGAUGGAUCCGCGCUGCAUUAGCUAGUUGGUAAGGUAACGGCUUACCAAGGCAACGAUGCAUAGCCGACCUGAGAGGGUGAUCGGCCACACUGGAACUGAGACACGGUCCAGACUCCUACGGGAGGCAGCAGUAGGGAAUCUUCCGCAAUGGGCGAAAGCCUGACGGAGCAACGCCGCGUGAGUGAUGAAGGUCUUCGGAUCGUAAAACUCUGUUAUUAGGGAAGAACAUAUGUGUAAGUAACUGUGCACAUCUUGACGGUACCUAAUCAGAAAGCCACGGCUAACUACGUGCCAGCAGCCGCGGUAAUACGUAGGUGGCAAGCGUUAUCCGGAAUUAUUGGGCGUAAAGCGCGCGUAGGCGGUUUUUUAAGUCUGAUGUGAAAGCCCACGGCUCAACCGUGGAGGGUCAUUGGAAACUGGAAAACUUGAGUGCAGAAGAGGAAAGUGGAAUUCCAUGUGUAGCGGUGAAAUGCGCAGAGAUAUGGAGGAACACCAGUGGCGAAGGCGACUUUCUGGUCUGUAACUGACGCUGAUGUGCGAAAGCGUGGGGAUCAAACAGGAUUAGAUACCCUGGUAGUCCACGCCGUAAACGAUGAGUGCUAAGUGUUAGGGGGUUUCCGCCCCUUAGUGCUGCAGCUAACGCAUUAAGCACUCCGCCUGGGGAGUACGACCGCAGGGUUGAAACUCAAAGGAAUUGACGGGGACCCGCACAAGCGGUGGAGCAUGUGGUUUAAUUCGAAGCAACGCGAAGAACCUUACCAAAUCUUGACAUCCUUUGACAACUCUAGAGAUAGAGCCUUCCCCUUCGGGGGACAAAGUGACAGGUGGUGCAUGGUUGUCGUCAGCUCGUGUCGUGAGAUGUUGGGUUAAGUCCCGCAACGAGCGCAACCCUUAAGCUUAGUUGCCAUCAUUAAGUUGGGCACUCUAAGUUGACUGCCGGUGACAAACCGGAGGAAGGUGGGGAUGACGUCAAAUCAUCAUGCCCCUUAUGAUUUGGGCUACACACGUGCUACAAUGGACAAUACAAAGGGCAGCGAAACCGCGAGGUCAAGCAAAUCCCAUAAAGUUGUUCUCAGUUCGGAUUGUAGUCUGCAACUCGACUACAUGAAGCUGGAAUCGCUAGUAAUCGUAGAUCAGCAUGCUACGGUGAAUACGUUCCCGGGUCU